RNAcentral lists this ribosomal RNA (418 nucleotides) under uncultured Actinomycetes bacterium. Its description in RNAcentral is "bacterial SSU rRNA". It matches the Rfam family "Bacterial small subunit ribosomal RNA", at positions 258 to 688 of the family's 1533-position model. Lineage: Bacteria; Bacillati; Actinomycetota; Actinomycetes. The record is from RNAcentral.
CAACGGCCCACCAAGGCGACGACGGGUAGCCGGCCUGAGAGGGCGACCGGCCACACUGGGAGUGAGACACGGCCCAGACUCCUACGGGAGGCAGCAGUGGGGAAUAUUGCGCAAUGGGCGAAAGCCUGACGCAGCGACGCCGCGUGGGGGAUGAAGGCCUUCGGGUUGUAAACCCCUUUCAGCAGGGACGAAGCGAAAGUGACGGUACCUGCAGAAGAAGCGCCGGCUAACUACGUGCCAGCAGCCGCGGUAACACGUAGGGCGCAAGCGUUGUCCGGAAUUAUUGGGCGUAAAGAGCUCGUAGGCGGUCUGUUGCGUCCGCUGUGAAAACUCGGGGCUUAACCCCGAGCCUGCAGUGGAUACGGGCAGACUAGAGGUAGGUAGGGGAGAAUGGAAUUCCCGGUGUAGCGGUGAAAUG